Molecule: ribosomal RNA, 468 nt
Filed under: uncultured bacterium
Lineage: Bacteria
Description: partial 16S ribosomal RNA
Rfam family: Bacterial small subunit ribosomal RNA
Source: RNAcentral
GACGAACGCUGGCGGCGUGCUUAACACAUGCAAGUCGAACGGAAAGGCCCUGCUUUUGUGGGGUGCUCGAGUGGCGAACGGGUGAGUAACACGUGAGUAACCUGCCCUUUACUUUGGGAUAACUUCAGGAAACUGGGGCUAAUACCGGAUAGGAGCUCCUGCUGCAUGGUGGGGGUUGGAAAGUUUCGGCGGUUGGGGAUGGACUCGCGGCUUAUCAGCUUGUUGGUGGGGUAGUGGCUUACCAAGGCUUUGACGGGUAGCCGGCAUGAGAGGGUGACCGGCCACAUUGGGACUGAGAGACGGCCCAGACGGCUACGGGAGGCAGGAGGGGGGAAUAUUGCACAAUGGGCGGAAGCCUGAUGAAGAAACGCAGCGUGCGGGAUGACGGCCUUCGGGUUGUAAACCGAUUUCGAAUGUGAAGAAGAGUGAGUGACGGUAAUGGGUAAAGAAGCACCGGCUAACUACGUG